AUUGAACGCUGGCGGCAGGCCUAACACAUGCAAGUCGAACGAGUGGCGGACGGGUGAGUAAUGUCUGGGAAACUGCCUGAUGGAGGGGGAUAACUACUGGAAACGGUCGCUAAUACCGCAUACCAUCAGAUGUGCCCAUAUGGGAUUAGCUAGUUGGUGGGGUAACGGCUCACCAAGGAGACGAUCCCUAUCUGGUCUGAGAGGAUGACCAUCAACACUGUAACUGAGAGACGUUCCAUACGCCUACGGGAGGCAGCAGUGGGGAAUAGUGCACAAGGGGCGCAAGCCAGAUGCAGCCAUGCCGAGUGGAUGAAGAAGGCCUUCGGGUUGUAAAGUACUUUCAGCGGGGAGGCGUUACCCGCAGAAGAAGCACCGGCUAACUCCGUGCCAGCCGCCGCGGUAAUAC
This 406-nucleotide ribosomal RNA is filed under the name uncultured bacterium. Its description in RNAcentral is "partial 16S ribosomal RNA". It matches the Rfam family "Bacterial small subunit ribosomal RNA", at positions 30 to 526 of the family's 1533-position model. The record is from RNAcentral.